CCUAGGGUGGCAGCAGUGGGGAAUAUUGCACAAUGGAGGGAACUCUGAUGCAGCGACGCCGCGUGAGUGAAGAAGUAAUUCGUUAUGUAAAGCUCUAUCAGCAGGGAAGAAAGUGACGGUACCUGAAAAAGAAGCUCCGGCUAAAUACGUGCCAGCAGCCGCGGUAAUACGUAUGGAGCAAGCGUUAUCCGGAUUUAUUGGGUUUAAAGGGUGCGCAGGCGGUCUGUUAAGUCAGCGGUCAAAGCCCGGGGCUCAACCCCGGCCCGCCGUUGAAACUGGCAGUCUCGAGUUGGAGAGAAGUAUGCGGAAUGCGCGGUGUAGCGGUGAAAUGCAGAGAUAUCGCGCAGAACUCCGAUUGCGAAGGCAGCAUGCCGGCUCCACACUGACGCUGAGGCACGAAAGCGUGGGUAUCGAACAGGAUUAGAUACCCGAGUAGUC
Molecule: ribosomal RNA, 438 nt
Filed under: uncultured bacterium
Lineage: Bacteria
Description: partial 16S ribosomal RNA
Rfam family: Bacterial small subunit ribosomal RNA
Source: RNAcentral